AUUGAACGCUGGCGGCAGGCCUAACACAUGCAAGUCGAGCGGAUGAAGGGAGCUUGCUCCUGGAUUCAGCGGCGGACGGGUGAGUAAUGCCUAGGAAUCUGCCUGGUAGUGGGGGAUAACGUCCAGAAACGGGCGCUAAUACCGCAUACGUCCUGAGGGAGAAAGUGGGGGAUCUUCGGACCUCACGCUAUCAGAUGAGCCUAGGUCGGAUUAGCUAGUUGGUGGGGUAAAGGCCUACCAAGGCGACGAUCCGUAACUGGUCUGAGAGGAUGAUCAGACACACUGGAACUUAGACACGGUCCAGACCCCUACGGGAGGCAGCAGUGGGGAAUAUUGGACAAUGGGCGGAAACCUGAUCCAGCCAAGCCGCGUGUGUGAAGAAGGUCUUCGGAUUGUAAAGCACUUUAAGUUGGGAGGAAGGGCAGUAAGUUAAUACCUUGCUGUUUUGACGUUACCAACAGAAUAAGCACCGGCUAACUUCGUG
This 484-nucleotide ribosomal RNA is filed under the name uncultured bacterium. RNAcentral's name for it is "partial 16S ribosomal RNA". It matches the Rfam family "Bacterial small subunit ribosomal RNA", at positions 30 to 507 of the family's 1533-position model. The record is from RNAcentral.